This 478-nucleotide ribosomal RNA is filed under the name Rhodococcoides trifolii. RNAcentral's name for it is "bacterial SSU rRNA". It matches the Rfam family "Bacterial small subunit ribosomal RNA", at positions 395 to 876 of the family's 1533-position model. Lineage: Bacteria; Bacillati; Actinomycetota; Actinomycetes; Mycobacteriales; Nocardiaceae. The record is from RNAcentral.
CGCCGCGUGAGGGAUGACGGCCUUCGGGUUGUAAACCUCUUUCAGCAGGGACGAAGCGUGAGUGACGGUACCUGCAGAAGAAGCACCGGCUAACUACGUGCCAGCAGCCGCGGUAAUACGUAGGGUGCAAGCGUUGUCCGGAAUUACUGGGCGUAAAGAGCUCGUAGGCGGGUUUGUCGCGUCGGCUGUGAAAACCCGCAGCUCAACUGCGGGCUUGCAGGCGAUACGGGCAGACUUGAGUAUUGCAGGGGAGACUGGAAUUCCUGGUGUAGCGGUGAAAUGCGCAGAUAUCAGGAGGAACACCGGUGGCGAAGGCGGGUCUCUGGGAAAUAACUGACGCUGAGGAGCGAAAAGCGUGGGGUAGCGAACAGGAAUUAGAUACCCUGGUAGUCCACGCCCGUAAACGGUGGGCGCUAGGGUGUGGGUUUCCUUCCACGGGAUCCGUGCCGGAACCUAACGCAUUAAGCGCCCCGCCUGG